CCUACGGGUGGCAGCAGUGGGGAAUAUUGGGCAAUGGGCGCAAGCCUGACCCAGCAACGCCGCGUGAAGGAAGAAGGCCCUCGGGUUGUAAACUUCUUUUAUUCGGGACGAAACAAAUGACGGUACCGAAUGAAUAAGCCACGGCUAACUACGUGCCAGCAGCCGCGGUAAUACGUAGGUGGCAAGCGUUAUCCGGAUUUACUGGGUGUAAAGGGCGUGUAGGCGGGAGAGCAAGUCAGACGUGAAAUUCCAGGGCUCAACCCUGGAACUGCGUUUGAAACUGUUCUUCUUGAGUGAAGUAGAGGUUGGCGGAAUUCCGAGUGUAGCGGUGAAAUGCGUAGAUAUUCGGAGGAACACCGGUGGCGAAGGCGGCCAACUGGGCUUUAACUGACGCUGAGGCUCGAAAGUGUGGGGAGCAAACAGGAUUAGAUACCCGGGUAGUC
This 443-nucleotide ribosomal RNA is filed under the name uncultured bacterium. RNAcentral's name for it is "partial 16S ribosomal RNA". It matches the Rfam family "Bacterial small subunit ribosomal RNA", at positions 338 to 795 of the family's 1533-position model. The record is from RNAcentral.